CACGUUCUCUCUCAUUCAGAAGCAUCACCACCAGCUUUCUUUUCUACUUCAUUUUCUUUUCUUUCUCCCACAUUCACGUCCCUUCUUUUCUUUUCCUGCAGCACUUCUCCUUUUCAUUCCCUUUCUUCUUUUUCUGCUCAUGAUCACCAACGUUACAGCACCAUCAUCAACUUCUUCUUCUUCAUUUAUUUCCUUCCUUGCAGCACCUAAAUCACCCAUUUCCUAUACCCACUUCAUUUAUCUCAUUCAACUCAUUGCACAACACUCUCGUCCUUUUCUUUUCUUUGUUACAGCAGCACAACCCUCAUUUUCUUCUUCUUCAUUUCUUUUCUUUUCUCCAUGGCUGGCCAAACCCACCACAACCCUCUGUCCUUCUUCCUCACGUAGCUCCCUUGGACAGCCACAGUAACCAUAAUCUCUAUGGACUUAUAUGGGUACGAAGGACGAAAGCGCCUUGCGGCGAAGCUAAAGAAUAGAAGGAAGCGAGCCGACGUGGAAAACAAAGAUGUGAUUGGAUUGAAGUUGCAGUUUAGGAAAGAAAUUGGCUAAGGCGAUGGAGAAUCUUCGAUGGAGCUUGAUCUUCGUACGAGUCGGAGAGAAGAACUUGAAUAACUGUGGAUGACUCGAAGAAUAGAGUCGGGUGUAGGGCUAGAGCCUUGGGUUAGAGAGCUUACCGUUAUUGGUUUAAGCUUGCAUAAAGAUUUUAGGAAUUUAUAUUUGAGGUUUCGGGUAGGUUCCGAUGCAUUGCUUUCCUGCGGUUCCCCGAUGUGGAGAUCGUAGGGAGUAUGUCGGAUUCAUGGUGUCAUUGCAUAAUAGGUUUUUGUUGAGUUGUUUCUAUUGGUUAGAUUUUGUAGUUGGGAGUAUGCAUGACAUGUUUUGGAAAUACAUUUGAAAAGAAAAAAUAUACUCGUGUUUAUACA
Long non-coding RNA from Lotus japonicus, 920 nucleotides. RefSeq lists it as uncharacterized. The transcript is spliced from 3 exons. The record is from RefSeq and is a predicted model, not a curated record. NCBI's taxonomy places the organism in Eukaryota, Viridiplantae, Streptophyta, Magnoliopsida, Fabales, Fabaceae.